CUUGCAUUGAGGGGGCGGGGCUUGACGCGGGGGCCGAGUCAUAACGUCACGAUCUCACGUCACCGUGGUCGGGAGGCGUUAGGAUGAGAGCCUCCAGCACUGCCGGAAGCCGCAACAGGAAUCCUAAGGUUCCCCACCCAUGGCCGGCCGGUCACCUGUUCUUCAGCUGUUAAAACAAAAAUGAACGUACUUGGCACGAAGAAAAGAAGAAGGUUGAGCUCCCGCAGAGAAGAAGAAAACAGAUGACAUCUUGAUGUAAUGACUCUAAGAAAAUAACACUGAACCAGAAAGUCCCAAAAACAAGAGCUUCUUCCAGGUCCAAGUGGCUGACAUAGGAAGAAAACAGAGCAAACAGCUAUGAAUACGAAGAGUUCUCACCAUGGCUAAGCUUUGCUUUUUCAGAAGGAUGUCAGUCUGAUGUACACAAAGCCCCA
Long non-coding RNA from Hyla sarda, 434 nucleotides. RefSeq lists it as uncharacterized. The record is from RefSeq and is a predicted model, not a curated record. NCBI's taxonomy places the organism in Eukaryota, Metazoa, Chordata, Amphibia, Anura, Hylidae. The transcript is spliced from 3 exons.